RNAcentral lists this ribosomal RNA (440 nucleotides) under uncultured bacterium. RNAcentral describes it as "partial 16S ribosomal RNA". It matches the Rfam family "Bacterial small subunit ribosomal RNA", at positions 338 to 795 of the family's 1533-position model. The record is from RNAcentral.
CCUACGGGAGGCAGCAGUAGGGAAUAUUGGUCAAUGGGGGAAACCCUGAAGCAGCAACGCCGCGUGAAGGAUGAAGGUUUUCGGAUUGUAAACUCCUUUUGUUAGAGAAGAUAAUGACGGUAUCUAACGAAUAAGCACCGGCUAACUCCGUGCCAGCAGACGCGGUUAUACGGAGGGUGCAAGCGUUACUCGGAAACUCUUGGGGUAAAGAGCGCGUAGGCGGGAUAGCAAGUCAGAUGUGAAAUCCUAAGGCUGAACCAUAGAACUGCAGUUGAAACUGUUAUUCUAGAGUAUGGGAGAGGUAGGUGGAAUUCUGGGUGUAGGGGUAAAAUCCGUAGAGAUCAAGAGGAAUACUCAUUGCGAAGGCGGCCUGCUAGAACAUAACUGACGCUGAGGCGCGAAAGCGUGGGGAGCAAACAGGAUUAGAUACCCCGGUAGUC